CGCCUCGCGGAGGUCUCGGAUGCAAGCAUCAACCUUGUUUAUGUCAACUGCUGCCAAUAGACCCCCCGCGGUCUGCGGGUCGUAUAUGAGCGGAUAGCGAGGGUUUCCGGACAUUUCGUCUUGGUUCGCCACCGCCCUCGACAAGCGCACGUUCGCAGGCUGCAGGGACGACGUGAUCCCCCAGACAACCAGGAGGUUUGCCUAGAAGCAGCCAUCCUCAAAGGAGUGCGUAAUAGCUCACUGGUCGAGCGAUCCUGCGCCGAAAAUGAAUGGGGCUAAGCGUUAUACCGAAGCUGCGGAUAAAUUUAUUUAUGGUAGGGGAGCGUUCUAUGUUGGGUGAAGCGUUAGCGUAAGCGGACGUGGACGGCAUAGAAGUGAGAAUGUCGGCUUGAGUAGCGAAAACAUUGGUGAGAAUCCAAUGCCCCGAAAACCUAAGGGUUCCUCCGGAAGGCUCGUCCGCGGAGGGUGAGUCAGGUCCUAAGGUCAGGCUGAAAAGCGUAAUCGAUGGAUAACAGGUCAAUAUUCCUGUACCAGUUAUGUUUUGGGAAGGGGGACGGAGAAGGCUAGCCAGGCCAGAUGUUGGUUACUGGUUCAAGCGUUCAAGGCUUUGAGAGAUGGAGAAAACAUCUUGAGCUGAGGCGUGAGUACGAGCUGCUACGGCAGCGAAGUUGGUGAUGUCAUGCUUCCAAGAAAAGCCCUAUACCCGUUAAGACAUAAAUGCCAGUACCCGAAACCGACACAGGUGGGGUGGUAGAGAAUACCGAGGGGCGCGAGAUAACUCUCUCUAAGGAACUCGGCAAAAUGGCCCCGUAACUUCGGGAGAAGGGGUGCCAGCGAGAGCUGGUCGCAGUGAAGAGGCGCAAGCGACUGUUUACCAAAAACACAGGUCUCCGCUAAGUCGCAAGACGAUGUAUGGGGGCUGACACCUGCCCAGUGCCGGAAGGUUAAGGAAGCUGGUUAGCUUUUAGCAAAGCUAGCGACUGAAGCCCCGGUGAACGGCGGCCGUAACUAUAACGGUCCUAAGGUAGCGAAAUUCCUUGUCGGGUAAGUUCCGACCCGCACGAAAGGUGUAACGAUUUGCGCGCUGUCUCGGAGAGAGGCUCGGCGAAAUAGAAUUGUCUGUGAAGAUGCGGACUACAUACACCCGGACAGAAAGACCCUAUGAAGCUUUACUGUAGUUUGAUAUUGUGCUCGGGCUCUAAUUGCGCAGAAUAGGUGGGAGACGUUGAAAUAGUACUUGUGGGUAUUAUUGAGUCAUCGGUGAGAUACCACUCUAUUAGAGCUAGGGUUCUAACGCUUACCCGUUAUCCGGGAAGCGGACAGUAUCUGAUGGGCAGUUUGACUGGGGCGGUCGCCUCCUAAAAGGUAACGGAGGCGCACAAAGGUUCCCUCAGGCUGGUUGGAAAUCAGUCGUUGAGUGCAAAAGCAGAAGGGAGCUUGACUGUGAGACCUACAAGUCGAACAGGGACGAAAGUCGGUUUUAGUGAUCCGACGGUUCUGCGUGGAAGGGCCGUCGCUCAACGGAUAAAAGUUACUCUAGGGAUAACAGGCUGAUCUCCCCCAAGAGUUCA
This 1571-nucleotide ribosomal RNA is filed under the name marine metagenome. RNAcentral describes it as "bacterial LSU rRNA". It matches the Rfam family "Bacterial large subunit ribosomal RNA", at positions 879 to 2502 of the family's 2925-position model. The record is from RNAcentral.